RNAcentral lists this ribosomal RNA (494 nucleotides) under uncultured bacterium. RNAcentral describes it as "partial 16S ribosomal RNA". It matches the Rfam family "Bacterial small subunit ribosomal RNA", at positions 28 to 507 of the family's 1533-position model. The record is from RNAcentral.
GACGAACGCUGGCGGCGUGCUUAACACAUGCAAGUCGAACGGAAAGGCCUGCUUUUCCUUGUGGAUUGCGGGUACUCGGGUGGCUAACGGGUGCGUAACACGCGUGUGAUCUGGCCCCAACUUGGGUAUAAGCCCGGGAAACUGGGUCUAAUUCCCUAUAGAACUGCAGGGUGGUGUCGUUGGUGGAAAACGAUUUGCUAGUUGUUGGGGAUGCGCUCGCGGCCUAUCAGCUUGGUGGUGGGGUAAUUGCCUACCAAGGCGGCGACGGGUAGCCGGCCGGGGAGGGUGGACGGCCACAUUGGGACUGGGACAAGGCCCAGACGCGUACGGGAAGCAGCAGUGGGGAAUAUAGCACAGUGGGCGGAAGGCUGAUGCAGCGACGCAGUGUGGGGGAUGACGGCAUUCGGGUUGUAAACUACUAUCGACCGAGAAGAAGCCAACUGGUUGGAAGGGUGGUGACGGUAGUGGUAGAAGAAGCACCGGCUAACUACGUG